AGGCUUAACACAUGCAAGUCGAGGGGCAGCAUGGUCUUAGCUUGCUAAGGCCGAUGGCGACCGGCGCACGGGUGAGUAACACGUAUCCAACCUGCCGUCUACUCUUGGACAGCCUUCUGAAAGGAAGAUUAAUACAAGAUGGCAUCAUGAGUCCGCAUGUUCACAUGAUUAAAGGUAUUCCGGUAGACGAUGGGGGUGCGUUCCAUUAGAUAGUAGGCGGGGUAACGGCCCACCUAGUCUUCGAUGGAUAGGGGUUCUGAGAGGAAGGUCCCCCACAUUGGAACUGAGACACGGUCCAAACUCCUACGGGAGGCAGCAGUGAGGAAUAUUGGUCAAUGGGCGAGAGCCUGAACCAGCCAAGUAGCGUGAAGGAUGACUGCCCUAUGGGUUGUAAACUUCUUUUAUAAAGGAAUAAAGUCGGGUAUGGAUACCCGUUUGCAUGUACUUUAUGAAUAAGGAUCGGCUAACUCCGUGCCAGCAGCCGCGGUAAUACGGAGGAUCCGAGCGUUAUCCGGAUUUAUUGGGUUUAAAGGGAGCGUAGAUGGAUGUUUAAGUCAGUUGUGAAAGUUUGCGGCUCAACCGUAAAAUUGCAGUUGAUACUGGAUAUCUUGAGUGCAGUUGAGGCAGGCGGAAUUCGUGGUGUAGCGGUGAAAUGCUUAGAUAUCACGAAGAACUCCGAUUGCGAAGGCAGCCUGCUAAGCUGCAACUGACAUUGAGGCUCGAAAGUGUGGGUAUCAAACAGGAUUAGAUACCCUGGUAGUCCACACGGUAAACGAUGAAUACUCGCUGUUUGCGAUAUACUGCAAGCGGCCAAGCGAAAGCGUUAAGUAUUCCACCUGGGGAGUACGCCGGCAACGGUGAAACUCAAAGGAAUUGACGGGGGCCCGCACAAGCGGAGGAACAUGUGGUUUAAUUCGAUGAUACGCGAGGAACCUUACCCGGGCUUAAAUUGCAGAUGAAUUACGGUGAAAGCCGUAAGCCGCAAGGCAUCUGUGAAGGUGCUGCAUGGUUGUCGUCAGCUCGUGCCGUGAGGUGUCGGCUUAAGUGCCAUAACGAGCGCAACCCUUGUUGUCAGUUACUAACAGGUUCCGCUGAGGACUCUGACAAGACUGCCAUCGUAAGAUGUGAGGAAGGUGGGGAUGACGUCAAAUCAGCACGGCCCUUACGUCCGGGGCUACACACGUGUUACAAUGGGGGGUACAGAGGGCCGCUACCACGCGAGUGGAUGCCAAUCCCCAAAACCUCUCUCAGUUCGGACUGGAGUCUGCAACCCGACUCCACGAAGCUGGAUUCGCUAGUAAUCGCGCAUCAGCCACGGCGCGGUGAAUACGUUCCCGGGCCUUGUACACACCGCCCGUCAAGCCAUGGGAGCCGGGGGUACCUGAAGUGCGUAACCGCGAGGAGCGCCCUAGGGUAAAACUGGUGACUGGGGCUAAGA
RNAcentral lists this ribosomal RNA (1438 nucleotides) under uncultured organism. Its description in RNAcentral is "SSU rRNA". It matches the Rfam family "Bacterial small subunit ribosomal RNA". The record is from RNAcentral.